RNAcentral lists this ribosomal RNA (484 nucleotides) under uncultured bacterium. RNAcentral's name for it is "partial 16S ribosomal RNA". It matches the Rfam family "Bacterial small subunit ribosomal RNA", at positions 28 to 523 of the family's 1533-position model. The record is from RNAcentral.
GAUGAACGCUGGCGGCGUGCUUAACACAUGCAAGUCGAACGGAAAGGCCCUGCUUGCAGGGUACUCGAGUGGCGAACGGGUGAGUAACACGUGGGUGAUCUGCCCUGUACUUUGGGAUAAGCCUGGGAAACUGGGUCUAAUACCGAAUAUGACCACUUCUUGGAUGGGGUGGUGGAAAGCUUUUGCGGUGUGGGAUGAGCCUGCGGCCUAUCAGCUUGUUGGUGGGGUAAUGGCCUACCAAGGCGGCGACGGGUAUCCGGCCUGAGAGGGUGUACGGACACAUUGGGACUGAGAUACGGCCCAGACUCCUACGGGAGGCAGCAGUGGGGAAUAUUGCACAAUGGGCGCAAGCCUGAUGCAGCGACGCCGCGUGGGGGAUGAAGGCCUUCGGGUUGUAAACUCCUUUCGCUAUCGACGAAGCCACUUGUGGUGACGGUAGGUAGAUAAGAAGCACCGGCUAACUACGUGCCAGCCGCCGCAGUAA